Molecule: ribosomal RNA, 393 nt
Filed under: uncultured microorganism
Description: bacterial SSU rRNA
Rfam family: Archaeal small subunit ribosomal RNA
Source: RNAcentral
GUGCAGCAGUCGAGAAAACUUUACAAUGUGCGAAAGCACGAUAAGGGAACUCUGAGUGCCUCCUAAGGAGGCUGUUCAGGUGUCUAAAAAGCACCUGGAGUAAGGGCUGGGUAAGACCGGUGCCAGCCGCCGCGGUAACACCGGCAGCCCAGGUGGUAGCCACUUUUAUUGGGUCUAAAGCGUCCGUAGCCGGUUGAGUAAGUUCCUUGGGAAAUUUGGCUGCUCAACAGUCAAGCUUCCAGGGAAUACUGCUCGACUUGGGGACUGGGAGAGGUCAGAGGUACUCCAGGGGUAGGGUGAAAUCCAUUAAUCCCUGGGGGACCACCGGUAGCGAAGGCGUCUGACCAGACCAGGUCCGACGGUGAGGGACGAAGGCUAGGGUCGCGAACCGGA